This 271-nucleotide ribosomal RNA is filed under the name uncultured prokaryote. RNAcentral describes it as "partial 16S ribosomal RNA". It matches the Rfam family "Bacterial small subunit ribosomal RNA", at positions 525 to 777 of the family's 1533-position model. The record is from RNAcentral.
ACAGAGGGGGCAAGCGUUAUUCGGAAUUACUGGGCGUAAAGUGUGCGCAGGCGGCUGAGCAAGUCGAGUGUGAAAGCCCCGGGCUUAACUUGGGAAUUGCGCUCGAAACUACUUGGCUGGAGUGUGGCAGAGGAGGGUGGAAUUCCGGGUGUAGCGGUGGAAUGCGUAGAGAUCCGGAAGAACACCGGUGGCGAAGGCGGCCCGCUGGGCAGGAAGACUCCGUGAGGGGUCGGCUGACGCUGAGGCGCGACAGCGUGGGGAGCAAACAGGA